This 1489-nucleotide ribosomal RNA is filed under the name Lactiplantibacillus argentoratensis. RNAcentral describes it as "bacterial SSU rRNA". It matches the Rfam family "Bacterial small subunit ribosomal RNA". Lineage: Bacteria; Bacillati; Bacillota; Bacilli; Lactobacillales; Lactobacillaceae. The record is from RNAcentral.
GACGAACGCUGGCGGCGUGCCUAAUACAUGCAAGUCGAACGAACUCUGGUAUUGAUUGGUGCUUGCAUCAUGAUUUACAUUUGAGUGAGUGGCGAACUGGUGAGUAACACGUGGGAAACCUGCCCAGAAGCGGGGGAUAACACCUGGAAACAGAUGCUAAUACCGCAUAACAACUUGGACCGCAUGGUCCGAGCUUGAAAGAUGGCUUCGGCUAUCACUUUUGGAUGGUCCCGCGGCGUAUUAGCUAGAUGGUGGGGUAACGGCUCACCAUGGCAAUGAUACGUAGCCGACCUGAGAGGGUAAUCGGCCACAUUGGGACUGAGACACGGCCCAAACUCCUACGGGAGGCAGCAGUAGGGAAUCUUCCACAAUGGACGAAAGUCUGAUGGAGCAACGCCGCGUGAGUGAAGAAGGGUUUCGGCUCGUAAAACUCUGUUGUUAAAGAAGAACAUAUCUGAGAGUAACUGUUCAGGUAUUGACGGUAUUUAACCAGAAAGCCACGGCUAACUACGUGCCAGCAGCCGCGGUAAUACGUAGGUGGCAAGCGUUGUCCGGAUUUAUUGGGCGUAAAGCGAGCGCAGGCGGUUUUUUAAGUCUGAUGUGAAAGCCUUCGGCUCAACCGAAGAAGUGCAUCGGAAACUGGGAAACUUGAGUGCAGAAGAGGACAGUGGAACUCCAUGUGUAGCGGUGAAAUGCGUAGAUAUAUGGAAGAACACCAGUGGCGAAGGCGGCUGUCUGGUCUGUAACUGACGCUGAGGCUCGAAAGUAUGGGUAGCAAACAGGAUUAGAUACCCUGGUAGUCCAUACCGUAAACGAUGAAUGCUAAGUGUUGGAGGGUUUCCGCCCUUCAGUGCUGCAGCUAACGCAUUAAGCAUUCCGCCUGGGGAGUACGGCCGCAAGGCUGAAACUCAAAGGAAUUGACGGGGGCCCGCACAAGCGGUGGAGCAUGUGGUUUAAUUCGAAGCUACGCGAAGAACCUUACCAGGUCUUGACAUACUAUGCAAAUCUAAGAGAUUAGACGUUCCCUUCGGGGACAUGGAUACAGGUGGUGCAUGGUUGUCGUCAGCUCGUGUCGUGAGAUGUUGGGUUAAGUCCCGCAACGAGCGCAACCCUUAUUAUCAGUUGCCAGCAUUAAGUUGGGCACUCUGGUGAGACUGCCGGUGACAAACCGGAGGAAGGUGGGGAUGACGUCAAAUCAUCAUGCCCCUUAUGACCUGGGCUACACACGUGCUACAAUGGAUGGUACAACGAGUUGCGAACUCGCGAGAGUAAGCUAAUCUCCUAAAGCCAUUCUCAGUUCGGAUUGUAGGCUGCAACUCGCCUACAUGAAGUCGGAAUCGCUAGUAAUCGCGGAUCAGCAUGCCGCGGUGAAUACGUUCCCGGGCCUUGUACACACCGCCCGUCACACCAUGAGAGUUUGUAACACCCAAAGUCGGUGGGGUAACCUUUUAGGAACCAGCCGCCUAAGGUGGGACAGAUGAUUAGGGUG